This 490-nucleotide ribosomal RNA is filed under the name uncultured bacterium. Its description in RNAcentral is "partial 16S ribosomal RNA". It matches the Rfam family "Bacterial small subunit ribosomal RNA", at positions 30 to 507 of the family's 1533-position model. The record is from RNAcentral.
AUUGAACGCUGGCGGCAGGCCUAGCACAUGCAAGUCGAACGGUAACAGGAAGCAGCUUGCUGCUUCGCUGACGAGUGGCGGACGGGUGAGUAAUGUCUGGGAAUCUGCCUGAUGGAGGGGGAUAACUACUGGAAACGGUAGCUAAUACCGCAUAAUGUCGCAAGACCAAAGAGGGGGACCUUCGGGCCUCUUGCCAUCGGAUGUGCCCAGAUGGGAUUAGCUUGUUGGUGGGGUAACGGCUCACCAAGGCGACGAUCCCUAGCUGGUCUGAGAGGAUGACCAGCCACACUGGGACUGAGACACGGUCCAGACUCCUACGGGAGGCAGCAGUAGGGAAUAUUGCACAAUGGGCGCAAGCCUGAUGCAGCCAUGCCGCGUGUAUGAAGAAGGCCUUCGGGUUGUAAAGUACUUUCAGCGGGGAGGAAGGGAGUAAAGUUAAUACAUUUGCUCAUUGACGUUACCCGCAGAAGAAGCACCGGCUAACUCCGUG